Molecule: long non-coding RNA, 1108 nt
Organism: Carassius auratus (goldfish)
Lineage: Eukaryota; Metazoa; Chordata; Actinopteri; Cypriniformes; Cyprinidae
Exons: 5
Source: RefSeq, a predicted model, not a curated record
GUGGAAACGCGCCGCGGGCUUUUCUUUCCGUUGCUGCCUCCCACAAGUCCUGCUUUGUUUGAUUCCUCCUUUUCAACUAUGAUUCCACGAGUGAAGAACUUGUCUGAGGUCAUGCUAAUGCAGACAACGCCGUGGCUAUUUGCAUGGAGGGCAUAACCUUUGACUUAACCCACUGCAUGCCUGCAGCAGUGACAGGAACAUCUGGAAAAAAUGUGCUUGGCUAUCCUCAUGUGCCUCAAGUCUUCCGGACCAUAGCAAACAUAAGGUCUCUCUCUCUUUUUCCCAUCAACAUUAUUGGAUCGCUGGCUCUCAGCCACAGUAUUAAGCCAUAGAGUCCCCCCGGCACUGGAAUACAAGUAUGUCUGACGGACUGACAAUUCAAAAGACAAGAUGGGUGGACAAAAACACAAGACAAAAUAACACAUUUUUAUGGAAAAAGAAGAGUAAGGGCAGUAAGGACAACAGUGCAACCUGUACCAGUCGGAGAAAUGAACAGUAUGGAGAGGGAUGUGGUGACAAAGAAAGAUGGAGGGAAGAGCGAAGAGGAAAGCAGAGGGCAGAACCAGCAGGAGAGAGCAGGAGAAAAGGGAAAAAGCAAUGGAUAGAUGGGGUGGAUUGUGUGCAAAAGUGUGAUGCUGAGUUUGGCUGGCUUACAGACCCUCUCCAUAAUUCAUCUGAGUUCUCUUCCUGGCUGAGCCUACAGGCUGUCUGCCACUCAACCCAAGAGCAUCUUUUAAUUAAUGUGAGGUGGGGACUCAGAAAUCCCCAAAACCCUCAGUUUCUCCUGGAUAAGCCUGUAAGGGCUCUCUCUUUUGUCAGCUAUUUUCCUAAGACACCCUGUUUUAAUGUUUGUAUGAGUAAUGAUGAUGAUCUGUGUGUGGCACAUGCAGUUUCCCAAGUGUGUGUUCCAUGUUCAUACAAGCCUCAUUUAUAAAUGACCAUUCUAUUCUUAUGAACAAUUAAGUACAAUUAAAAGUCCAUUUAAAGGCCCUAUUAAAAUCAAAUUGGAGUUUUGUGGCUUUUAGUUCAUGUCUAUUAACUUUUGAGGUCAUCUAUAGUACCAUUCAAAAGUUCAGUUUUAGUAAGAUUUUAAGCAAGGAUGCAUUAA